CUAGAUCAAUUAACAGUUUUUUUAUCAUUGUAAUAUUAAAUGGUCACAAGCAGUAACUUACCUAAUGUUUAUAGCUUUAAAAAUAGUAUCCUACACCUUAAGUAUUUGGUGGUGGUAGUUAUCUAGCUAAGUAACUAUUUAUAUAUUUUUUAUUAUUUCAGAGAAAGCAUGUACACCAUCUAAAGAAGUAUGGAGAACUGACAGCAAACACACUGAAGAGAAAACAUGCCCCUAAAACUCCCUCCACCAUCAAGCAGGGCACAUUACUGAAGACAAUGUCUCAAAAAUCCACUGACAAAGCUGUGGUGAAGUACGUGGUCCAAGGGCUCCAACUAUUCGCUGUUGUAGAACAAGAACCGUUUAGAGAGUUUGUCCAGGAUCUGCAGCUUAACUCAAAAGAUCUUAUCAAGGCCCACACUGCACUCCAGGAUUGAUGAAGUCUCCAAGGAAAUUAAGAAGGUGACUGAGGCCAUGAGAGGAAUUGACCACAUCGCCACCACCACCGACUGCUGGUCUGCAAGAAGACUGAGCUUCAUUGGUGUUAUAUCCCACUGGAUAGACCUUGACAGUCUCAACAGAUGCUCUGCAGCCCUGCCUGAAAACGGUUGAGAGGAUCGCACACCUUUGAUGUGUUGGCAGGCGCCCUAAAUGACAUCUAUUCUGAGUUUGAAAUCCAGGUUAAGAUUGUGUGAACAACAACAGACAACGGCUCUAACUUGAAAGCUUUCCAAGUUUUUGGAGAAGGUGAAAACAACGAGACACUGGAAGCAGUGAAGCAGCUCAGCCAGGACAGGAAGAUGGGGAAGAGGAACAAGAGGAGAGUGAAGAAGUGGAGUUUGUUGAUGUGGCAACGAUCCUGAAUGAAGAUGAUGGUUUUGGGUACCAGCUGCAGAAGCACCAGCGCUGUGCUUACCACCUACUCAACUUAGUAUCUACAGUCGAUGCCCUGAAAGCAACAUCCAGUGAGGCUUACAAAAAAGUGUCCCAUUUAACAUUUGGCAAGUGCCAAGCACUUUGGAACAAAUGCGGAAGAUACACACUUGCAGCCAAAACGGUUGAAGAUGCUUGCGACCUCCAGCUGCUGCACCCAAAUGCUACGAGGCGGAACUCCUGAUUCAUGGCUGUAGAAAGACUCCUGAUGAUCGACAAAGGAGAGGCGGCCAUCAGAGUUCCCUGCACAGACUUCGAGGUUCUAAUGAAGGGACGACAUCAAGGAUCACCUGGAAGAACCCUUGCUGCAGCUAGGCGAUGGCACCAGUUCCAUCAGAUGAGGACUUCUUCCCUCCUGAGUGGCGCAGCGGUCUAAGGCACUGCAUCUCGGUGCUAGAAGUGUCACUACAGACCCUGGUUCGAUUCCAGGCUGUAUCACAACCGGCAGUGAUUGAUCGUCCGGGUUAGGGUUUGGUCGGGGUAGCCGUCAUUGUAAAUAAGAAUUUGUUCUUAACGGACUUGCCUAGUUAAAUAAAAUAAAUGAAGACGUCUCAAGCACAAGAAAGCUCCAAACAGCUGGACGGAUACCUGGCCUGUUCAACUGAUCAUAUGGAGUUGCUCAAGUCCUUCCCGGCAGUCUGUAAGCUGUCUCUGAGGCUAAACACACCCUUACCUGCAUCAACUGGCUUUGAAAGGCUGUUCAGCAUUGCAGGACUUGUUUUCAGCCCCAGGAGAGCAAGGGUAGAUUCCAUAAACUUUGAAAACCAGCUUUUACUGAAGAUGAACCAUAAAUCCUUCAACUUCAAAUAAUGACAGCUUAAUGCUAGCAAGGACACGGAUGCCUUAUGCGUUUUGUUCAUUUAUUUAAAAACUUCACCAGUUAUAGAUGUCCUUGUUACAAAGGCAUGACCUGACACACUGAUUUCUAAUACAGUUCCAUCAGUGGUGAUGUCCUUAUUGCUAUAGUGAGGUUGUGUGUAGUUCUGUACAUGUACUUUUUUAUUUUAUGUAUAGGGUCUAUUAUAGCAUGUUUUUUCUAAAGCAAAGUGACUGUGAUUGUAAGCUUACGUUUACUGGCUAUAUUCCUUCAUUAAGGCAUCAUUCUAUUUUGUCUGUAAGAUAUAUUUUGAAGUGUUGCCUAUUUGAGAAUCCUCAUCAUUUAAAAAAAUCUGAGCUCUUCUUGCAUCUGUAAGACUGCUACCUUUCAGAAAAGCUCAAACCAAAUAAAAGGUCUGGCUAUUUUGCUUUA
This is a long non-coding RNA of Oncorhynchus nerka (sockeye salmon), 2179 nucleotides long. RefSeq lists it as uncharacterized. Lineage: Eukaryota; Metazoa; Chordata; Actinopteri; Salmoniformes; Salmonidae. The record is from RefSeq and is a predicted model, not a curated record. The transcript is spliced from 2 exons.